RNAcentral lists this ribosomal RNA (274 nucleotides) under uncultured bacterium. Its description in RNAcentral is "partial 16S ribosomal RNA". It matches the Rfam family "Bacterial small subunit ribosomal RNA", at positions 384 to 657 of the family's 1533-position model. The record is from RNAcentral.
UGAUCCAGCCAUGCCGCGUGCAGGAAGAAGGCCUUCUGGGUUGUAAACUGCUUUUGCCAGGGGAUAAAAGACCCUUGCGAGGGAAAUUGAAGGUACCUGGUGAAUAAGCCACGGCUAACUACGUGCCAGCAGCCGCGGUAAUACGUAGGUGGCAAGCGUUGUCCGGAUUUAUUGGGUUUAAAGGGUGCGUAGCGGUUCCUUAAGUCAGUGGUGAAAUACAGCCGCUUAACGGUUGAGGUGCCAUUGAUACUGGGGAACUUGAGUACAGACGAGG